UUAAAAGUAGAGACAGAGGGAGAGAUUCACCACUAGCCUUCAAUAAAUCAUCUCUCUCCCAAAAUGGCAAACAACUGUAAAAAUGUUGCAAUACUGUAUCUUAUGUGCAUUUUAGUUUCUGUGAUAGCUUUUCGGUUAUGUAAAGCGGAUAGCGACCUUCAAACAGGAGACGUUUAUAAACAAUGUUUGAAAGAAUGCGAUGACAAAUGAAAAGCAGAUGGAAACGGCGAAGUCUUUUGUCACGCAAAAUGUUCUAAAUCUUGUGAGUAGCAGCAAAAAGAUGCAAACGCAAAAGAGAAAGAAAGAUGUAUAAAUAAAAUGAAGAAUAUACAUUGAGGUAGAUGGAAAAAAAGAAAAUCAACGUUUAAAAAACAAAGAAUUACAAGAAGAUGGACUGCCGAUUAGAUAACAUCGUAUUGGAGAAGUUCAAGUGAACUCUACGAGAAGAUGGCCUGCCAAUUUAUUUGUUUGUAUAUAAUUGUAGUGGCAUGAAACUACGCACUACAUCUGAUGGAGUAUAGGGUGAUUCCACAUAAUACGAAGAAACAUAAACAAACAUAGACACAAGGAUUUACAUGGUUCGGUAUAAUUAUCUACGUCCACGGGGUGAAAGGAUGUGUAUUAUUAUUCUUCUUUCUUGGUUACAAGUUGUACUCUCUCUCUAGUGGUGAUGUUCUCUCAACUCAAGUAGGAUGCCUAGUUUUCUCUCCCUCUUCGACCUCUCUUUCUCUCUCGACUAUCCCUUAUAUUUAUAGGCCAAAGUCGACAUACAACAGAAUUACAAUGUUGGUCACAUUACAUCAUUUUAGCUGUUCUCUAUAGGACCUUCACUGAUCGCCCGACUUCCUUGUUUGACCGAUAGUUCUUCACCCGAGGCCGAGUCUGUAUCGCCUGGUUAGCACGAUGUCUCCCUUCUUUCUUCUCGUUCCUUUGUUUGACCACCUUCCUUCGUCUGACCGAGUGCUUUCUGAUUGUUCGCCCGACCUGUCUGACGAUAAGGGUCACAUCACAUCAGACACCUAUUGGGCCAUCACGUCCGACCCACGUGAUACCUCGCUCUUUGUGCCGUUUGGUUCUAUCUUGUGCUUCGUCGCUCUUUUUUCUUUGGUGUAUUAUAGCUUAGGAUCUUUCCACCUAGCCCUGUGGAUUAUCUACACCUACAUUUAUGCCCCUUUUUUCGCUCGUGUGCUUGACACGAGGGAAAUAAAAUCGUUCCAUCUUCUCACGUCCUCGAGCGUGCCGGGAAUUCCGGCAUGCAGUCUCCCACUAACUCUCCUUUAUGACUCGUAACCGUUGCUAUCAGUUGAGGCGUUGUACCCUAUAAAUACCCUCCCUUAUGUUCUCACUCCCUUGUUCGCCAUUUUUCAGAGAAACGAAGUGAUGUUCAUCUUUCUUCUCUUCCUCUCUUUGUUGCUGAUGCCAUUAAUUCCGGUGACUCUCUUCUCUUUUCCAUCUUCGUCUUUGUUGUUUCUGUUGGUGAGAUUCGCGACAGUUGUGGUUAGUUCUUCCUUUUGCUUUUCUCUUCAUCAGAGCUCGUAUCUCCCUGUUUGUUUUUCUUUCCAUGGAUUCUUCUUCUCCGUCAAUGACCGAAAAAGGUGCGUGAUUGAUACCUUCUCCGAGGGCGAUGUCGUUUCUCUAGGGAGAGGUUCCAACAAGAUGGAUGCUGGAUGAUGAUCCUCUAGGGAGAGGUUCCAACAAGCGUGCUCGCCAUACUAAUGACCCAUACUUGGAUCGGGUUCAAUUACUUGUUCGCGGCCAGAUUUUGCAUGGUAGCUUCCCUCCUCCUCAGUUUCUUGUGGAGCCUUACUUAUUCUGGGUGAUUAAUGAUGACAGGGUUAAGCCUCAGGGCGAGCCUACCAAAUCGGCUUCUAUUUCGAAGAAGAUGAGCGCUGGCACAAGGGUCAAGGAAGACUAGGGGAAGAAAAUCCCAGGCGCGAGGAUGAAGAUGUUGGAGGGUCUGAUACUGUUGGUGGUGAAGGUUUGGUUCCAAGGCGUAAUCCUCCUCGGGGGAAGUGGCGGCGAAGGGAGUGAUGCUGAAAAGUUCGGACAUCGUGAUCGACAUCCCCGAUCAAGAUGAUGAGGACGAUAUAUUCGGGGACGAGCAGCUGUUUGAUGAGAAUGGCGGUGGGAAGAAAGAAGGGGAGUUUCCCUUGGAGAUUACUAUUGUGACUCCUACCAUGCAGCCUGGGGCUCAGGGGCCGACCGAAACCUCGCUCCAAAAGCGUCCCCCAAUGGAUGUUGGUUCUUCCUCGAGUGUUCACACAUCUUUUACCAUAUCGGUCCCUCUGUGUGAUUCUCUUGGCGCAUUACACUCGGAGGAGUUCGUCUCCUAUACUGAUGAACAGAUGAUUGUUGUUGUGCCCCUAUAUCCUGACAUUGCGCCGGUCUUUGAUAAUCUGACGUUUAAUCGGUUGAGGUAGGAGGCUGCACUCCGCCGAUAAGAGAUUAGGAAGUUGGAGGCUGCUCUUCAGUGGGAGAAGGAACAAUCUCGUGACCUGGAGAUCAAACUCGCCGAUGCUCAAGCCAAGCAGGGUCGUGUUAAGGAUCUGAAGCGAGAUGUGCACAACCUCGGGCAUGAGGUGGAGCAGUGGAAGAAGGCUGAAGGUGAGACGAAGGUUAAGCUCCAAGCCGCCGAGUCGAGGUCUGAGCAACUUUCUCAACAUAUUGUGGACGAGAGAAACGCUCAUCAGAGCGAGCUAGCUGAGGCGAUUAAGGCCGGUGUGAACGAGUACAUCGGCAAAAGCGCCGCGAGGUUGAUCAGAGGAAGGGAGGGGCCGGUGUUGUUCCACCCAGGAGUUGAUCACGCCUUUUGUAGUGUUGCGCCACUAAUUUUCCCUUUGUUGCGGGUUGUAAUUCGUUUGAAAACUUGUCCCAUGCUUCUUUGAACAAUUUCUUUUAAAUGGGGUGAUGCGUCGCCAAGCUUGUUCUUUCUUUUCUAUUUUCCUUGAAAAUUUCCGCCUUUUCCACUGUGUUGACAAUUCUCUUGAUAAUUUCAGCCUUAUCUUGUUGUUUAUGUUA
Papaver somniferum (opium poppy) is the source of this 3018-nucleotide long non-coding RNA. RefSeq lists it as uncharacterized. The transcript has 7 exons. Lineage: Eukaryota; Viridiplantae; Streptophyta; Magnoliopsida; Ranunculales; Papaveraceae. The record is from RefSeq and is a predicted model, not a curated record.